This 406-nucleotide ribosomal RNA is filed under the name uncultured bacterium. Its description in RNAcentral is "partial 16S ribosomal RNA". It matches the Rfam family "Bacterial small subunit ribosomal RNA", at positions 30 to 526 of the family's 1533-position model. The record is from RNAcentral.
AUUGAACGCAGACGUCAGGCCUAACACAUGCAAGUCGCGCGAGCGGCGGACUGGUGCGUAAUUUAUGGUGAUCUGCCUGAUGGAGGGGGAUAACUACUGGAAACGGUAGCUAAUACCGCCUACCAUCAGAUGAACCCAUAUGGGAUUAGCUUGUAGGUAAGUUAACGGCUUACCUAGGCGACUAUCCCUAGCUGGUCUGAGAGGAUGAUCAGCCAAACUGGGACUGAGACACGGCCCAGACUCCUACGGGAGGCAGCAGUGGGGAAUAUGGCACAAUGGGCGCAAGCCUGAUGCAGCCAUGCCGAGUGUAGGAAGAAGGCCGUAGGGUGGUAGAGUACUUUUAGUCGGGAGGCGUUACCGAAAGAAGAAGCACGGGCGAACUCCGUGCCAGCAGCCGCGGUAAUUC